This 483-nucleotide ribosomal RNA is filed under the name Arthrobacter sp. o18. Its description in RNAcentral is "bacterial SSU rRNA". It matches the Rfam family "Bacterial small subunit ribosomal RNA", at positions 26 to 512 of the family's 1533-position model. Lineage: Bacteria; Bacillati; Actinomycetota; Actinomycetes; Micrococcales; Micrococcaceae. RNAcentral also lists the same sequence under 1 other name. The record is from RNAcentral.
AGGAUGAACGCUGGCGGCGUGCUUAACACAUGCAAGUCGAACGAUGAACCCCGCUUGCGGGGGGAUUAGUGGCGAACGGGUGAGUAACACGUGAGUAACCUGCCCUUAACUCUGGGAUAAGCCUUGGAAACGAGGUCUAAUACUGGAUAUUGACUUUUCCUCGCAUGGGGAUUGGUUGAAAGAUUUAUUGGUUUUGGAUGGACUCGCGGCCUAUCAGCUUGUUGGUGAGGUAAUGGCUCACCAAGGCGACGACGGGUAGCCGGCCUGAGAGGGUGACCGGCCACACUGGGACUGAGACACGGCCCAGACUCCUACGGGAGGCAGCAGUGGGGAAUAUUGCACAAUGGGCGAAAGCCUGAUGCAGCGACGCCGCGUGAGGGAUGACGGCCUUCGGGUUGUAAACCUCUUUCAGUAGGGAACAAGGCCAGACGUUGUCUGGUUGAGGGUACUUGCAGAAGAAGCGCCGGCUAACUACGUGCCAGC